RNAcentral lists this ribosomal RNA (468 nucleotides) under uncultured bacterium. Its description in RNAcentral is "partial 16S ribosomal RNA". It matches the Rfam family "Bacterial small subunit ribosomal RNA", at positions 28 to 507 of the family's 1533-position model. The record is from RNAcentral.
GACGAACGCUGGCGGUGUGCUUAACACAUGCAAGUCGAACGGUAAGGCCCUUUCGGGGGUACACGAGUGGCGAACGGGUGAGUAACACGUGAGUAACCUGCCCUCAUCUCUGGGAUAACAGUCGGAAACGGUUGCUAAUACUGGAUAUGAGCUUGCAAGGCAUCUUGUGGGUUGGAAAGAUUUUUUUUGGUUGGGGAUGGACUCGCGGCCUAUCAGCUUGUUGGUGAGGUAGUGGCUCACCAAGGCUUCGACGGGUAGCCGGCCUGAGAGGGCGACCGGCCACAUUGGGACUGAGAUACGGCCCAAACUCCGACGGGAGGCAGCAGUGGGGAAUAUUGCACAAUGGACGGAAGUCUGAUGCAGCAACGCCGCGUGCGGGAUGAAGGCCUUCGGGUUGUAAACCGCUUUCAAUUGUGACGAAGCUUUUUUGUGACGGUAGCAGUAGAAGAAGCACCGGCUAACUACGUG